GUUUAGAACGUCGUGAGACAGUUCGGUCCCUAUCUGCCGUGGGCGCUGGAGAAUUGAGGGGGGCUGCUCCUAGUACGAGAGGACCGGAGUGGACGCAUCACUGGUGUUCGGGUUGUCAUGCCAAUGGCACUGCCCGGUAGCUAAAUGCGGAAGAGAUAAGUGCUGAAAGCAUCUAAGCACGAAACUUGCCCCGAGAUGAGUUCUCCCUGAGACUUUAAGUCUCCUGAAGGAACGUUAAAGACGAUGACGUUGAUAGGCCGGGUGUGUAAGCGCAGCGAUGCGUUGAGCUAACCGGUACUAAUGAACCGUGAGGCUUAACCUUACAACGCCGAAG
RNAcentral lists this ribosomal RNA (334 nucleotides) under Klebsiella pneumoniae. Its description in RNAcentral is "bacterial LSU rRNA". It matches the Rfam family "Bacterial large subunit ribosomal RNA", at positions 2609 to 2925 of the family's 2925-position model. Lineage: Bacteria; Pseudomonadati; Pseudomonadota; Gammaproteobacteria; Enterobacterales; Enterobacteriaceae. The record is from RNAcentral.